CCCCCAGUAAGGGCGACUGAACGGGGAGGAGCCCAGCGCGGAACCUCGCGCGCCUCGCCGGCUGCGUCUGAGGAAUGUCGCGUUCCGGAGGGGCCUUCUCCGACCACACCGACCCCCCCCAAGUCCGCUUGAACGCGGCCACUGCCCACGGAGGGUGCGAGGCCCGUACGGGGAUUAGGAGUCGGGCGGUCGGACGGCCCCGUCCGUAGAGUCGGGUUGCCUACUAACGCAGCCCAAAGCAGGUGGUAAACUCCAUCUAAGGCUAAAUAU
This 270-nucleotide ribosomal RNA is filed under the name Oratosquillina asiatica. Its description in RNAcentral is "partial large subunit ribosomal RNA". It matches the Rfam family "Eukaryotic large subunit ribosomal RNA", at positions 77 to 323 of the family's 3401-position model. Lineage: Eukaryota; Metazoa; Arthropoda; Malacostraca; Stomatopoda; Squillidae. The record is from RNAcentral.